GGAGGACCGAACCGACUACCUUUGAAAAGUUAGCGGAUGACCUGUGGAUCGGAGUGAAAGGCUAAUCAAGCUCGGAGAUAGCUGGUUCUCCUCGAAAGCUAUUUAGGUAGCGCCUCAUGUAUCACUGUAGGGGGUAGAGCACUGUUUCGGCUAGGGGGUCAUCCCGACUUACCAAACCGAUGCAAACUCCGAAUACCUACAAGUGCCGAGCAUGGGAGACACACGGCGGGUGCUAACGUCCGUCGUGAAAAGGGAAACAACCCAGACCGUCAGCUAAGGUCCCAAAGUUAUGGUUAAGUGGGAAACGAUGUGGGAAGGCAUAGACAGCUAGGAGGUUGGCUUAGAAGCAGCCAUCCUUUAAAGAAAGCGUAAUAGCUCACUAGUCGAGUCGGCCUGCGCGGAAGAUGUAACGGGGCUCAAACCAGGUACCGAAGCUACGGGUAUCACUUAGGUGAUGCGGUAGAGGAGCGUUCUGUAAGCCUGUGAAGGUGAGUUGAGAAGCUUGCUGGAGGUAUCAGAAGUGCGAAUGCUGACAUGAGUAACGACAAUGCGAGUGAAAAACUCGCACGCUGAAAGACCAAGGGUUCCAGUCCAACGUUAAUCGGGGCUGGGUGAGUCGACCCCUAAGGCGAGGCCGAAAGGCGUAGUCGAUGGGAACGGGGCAAAUAUUCCCCGGCCAG
This 680-nucleotide ribosomal RNA is filed under the name Skeletonema menzelii. RNAcentral's name for it is "partial Bacterial large subunit ribosomal RNA". It matches the Rfam family "Bacterial large subunit ribosomal RNA", at positions 768 to 1447 of the family's 2925-position model. Lineage: Eukaryota; Bacillariophyta; Thalassiosirophyceae; Thalassiosirales; Thalassiosiraceae. The record is from RNAcentral.